GACAGAGGUGCCAAGCGUUAGGCGGAAUCACUGGGCUUAAAGCGUGUGUAGGCGGAAUUGUAAGUACCUUGUGAAGUCCCAUGGCUCAACCAUGGAACUGCUCGGUAUACUGCUUUUCUUGAGCCACUUAGGGGCUACCGGAACAAAUGGUGGAGCGGUGAAAUGCGUAGAUAUCAUUUGGAACGCCAAUGGUGAAAACAGGUAGCUGGGAGUGUGCUGACGCUGAGACACGAAAGCCAGGGGAGCGAACGGG
RNAcentral lists this ribosomal RNA (253 nucleotides) under uncultured bacterium. RNAcentral describes it as "partial 16S ribosomal RNA". It matches the Rfam family "Bacterial small subunit ribosomal RNA", at positions 524 to 776 of the family's 1533-position model. The record is from RNAcentral.